AGGAAGCACCGGCUAACUCCGUGCCAGCAGCCGCGGUAAUACGGGGGGUGCAAGCGUUGUUCGGAAUUAUUGGGCGUAAAGCGCGUGUAGGCGGUUUGAUUAGUCUGAUGUGAAAGCCCUGGGCUCAACCCAGGAAGCGCAUUGGAAACUGCCAGACUUGAAUACGGGAGAGGGUAGUGGAAUUCCUAGUGUAGGAGUGAAAUCCGUAGAUAUUAGGAGGAACACCGGUGGCGAAGGCGGCUGCCUGGACCGAUAUUGACGCUGAGACGCGAAAGCGUGGGUAGCAAACAGGAUUAGAUACCCUGGUAGUCCACGCCGUAAACGAUGAGUACUAGGUGUCGCGGGUAAAUCG
This 352-nucleotide ribosomal RNA is filed under the name uncultured Geobacter sp. RNAcentral describes it as "bacterial SSU rRNA". It matches the Rfam family "Bacterial small subunit ribosomal RNA", at positions 485 to 836 of the family's 1533-position model. Lineage: Bacteria; Pseudomonadati; Thermodesulfobacteriota; Desulfuromonadia; Geobacterales; Geobacteraceae. The record is from RNAcentral.